AUGCUGACUGUUUUGCUUGCUCUUUUACCUGGUGCUGGGGUCGGAAACCUCAUCACACAGUGGCCAGAAGAAACCCUUAAGAGAGCUGGAGAGACUGUGGACAUCUCCUGCUACCAGAAUUUUAUCAGACUUGCCUAUGUGUUCUGGUACCAGCAGCCUCCAAGAAAUGGUCUGAAGUUAGUAGCCAGUACUUCUACAUGGAUGCAAAAUUCUUACGAGGAAGGUUACAGUGAGGCCAAGUUUGAAAUAAGCAGAGACAAUAAUGAUUACUCUGUGAUGACGAUCAAGAAUGUGACAUCCAAGGAUGCAGCCACGUAUUUCUGUGCUGCGAGUGAUCACACGGUAUUGCGAGGGGGUUGA
Molecule: non-coding RNA, 360 nt
Organism: Aptenodytes forsteri (emperor penguin)
Lineage: Eukaryota; Metazoa; Chordata; Aves; Sphenisciformes; Spheniscidae
Source: the annotation of a RefSeq genome assembly